RNAcentral lists this ribosomal RNA (155 nucleotides) under Aeromonas hydrophila. Its description in RNAcentral is "partial 16S ribosomal RNA". It matches the Rfam family "Bacterial small subunit ribosomal RNA", at positions 1377 to 1532 of the family's 1533-position model. Lineage: Bacteria; Pseudomonadati; Pseudomonadota; Gammaproteobacteria; Aeromonadales; Aeromonadaceae. The record is from RNAcentral.
GGCCUUGUACACACCGCCGUCACACCAUGGGAGUGGGUUGCACCAGAAGUAGAUAGCUUAACCUUCGGGAGGGCGUUUACCACGGUGUGAUUCAUGACUGGGGUGAAGUCGUAACAAGGUAACCCUAGGGGAACCUGGGGUUGGAUCACCUCCUU